CAGUAGCCACGGUAAAACGAAGGGAGCGAGCGUUGUUCGGAAUCACUGGGCUUAAAGAGUGCGUAGGCGGAAGUGUAAGUCAGAAGUGAAAGCCCAGGGCUCAACCUUGGAAUUGCUUUUGAGACUGCAUUUCUAGAAUUCGGUAGAGGCUGAUGGAAUGUCCAGUGUAGAGGUGAAAUUCGCAGAUAUUGGACGGAACACCAGUGGCGAAGGCGAUCAGCUGGGCCGAUAUUGACGCUGAGGCACGAAAGCGUGGGUAGCAAACAGGAUUAGAUACCCCCGUAGUCCCUGUCUCUUAUAC
RNAcentral lists this ribosomal RNA (301 nucleotides) under uncultured bacterium. RNAcentral describes it as "partial 16S ribosomal RNA". It matches the Rfam family "Bacterial small subunit ribosomal RNA", at positions 509 to 807 of the family's 1533-position model. The record is from RNAcentral.